This is a long non-coding RNA of Poeciliopsis prolifica (blackstripe livebearer), 472 nucleotides long. RefSeq lists it as uncharacterized. The record is from RefSeq and is a predicted model, not a curated record. The transcript is spliced from 3 exons. Lineage: Eukaryota; Metazoa; Chordata; Actinopteri; Cyprinodontiformes; Poeciliidae.
CAAAGUCAUAAUUAUGAGAUUCAAAGUCAUAAUUAUGAGAUACCGGAGCAGUUGGAGACAAUUCUCCGUAGAAUAACAGCGUGCUCCAACUCCCAGUUAAAUAUGACCUUAAAUCCAAGGUCCAACCUUUGCUACUGCGUUAAGAGUCAGUAAAAGGAUACCUACAAGAGACAGAGGAGGUUCCUUUCACCUGAACCUAAACCUAAACAGAGAACCACAUACCAUUCUGGAGGAUGUAGGCACAGUCAAGGCUUCUCAACUAGGCCUGUCGCGAUAAACGGUAAGUCAAGAAAUUGAACGAUAAAUGAAAACUAUCGACGUCAUUUCAUUUAUCGGCUAUCGUCUCUGCCUGUAUUUUUCUCUUUCUAUUGAUGACGCUGGAUGAGAAGCCUCAACUCUGGUGCUAUCCACUGACCCCUCCCUUCCUAAAAAAUGAGGAGGGAGGAUUAGUGGACUAUUGCAUCAGGUAGUA